AAUAUUGGUCAAUGGAGGCAACUCUGAACCAGCCACGCAGCGUGAAGGAUUACGGACCUACGGGUUGUAAACAUCUGUUAUACAGGAAUAAAGUGAGUCACGUGUGCCUGUUUGCUUGUCCUACAUGAAUAUGGAUCGUCUAACUCCAAGCCAGCAGCCGCGGUAAUACGGAGGAUCCAACCGUUAUCCGGAUUUAUUGGGUUUAAAGGGUGCGCAGGCGGAAGAUUAAGUCGGCGGUGAAAUUUUGCAGCUCAACUGUAAAAGUGCCAUCGCUACUGGUUUUCGUGAGUGUGGAUGAAGUAGGCGGACUUUUGGGUGUAGCGGUGAAAUGCAUAGAUAUCACGAGGAACUCCGAUUGCGCAGGCAGCUUACUAGGCCAUAACUGACGCUCAGGCGCGAAGGCGUGGGGAUCAAACAGG
RNAcentral lists this ribosomal RNA (419 nucleotides) under uncultured bacterium. RNAcentral describes it as "partial 16S ribosomal RNA". It matches the Rfam family "Bacterial small subunit ribosomal RNA", at positions 360 to 776 of the family's 1533-position model. The record is from RNAcentral.